RNAcentral lists this ribosomal RNA (406 nucleotides) under uncultured bacterium. RNAcentral describes it as "bacterial SSU rRNA". It matches the Rfam family "Bacterial small subunit ribosomal RNA", at positions 355 to 776 of the family's 1533-position model. The record is from RNAcentral.
UGGGGAAUAUUGGGCAAUGGGGGAAACCCUGACCCAGCAACGCCGCGUGAAGGAAGAAGGUCUUCGGAUUGUAAACUUCUUUGAUCAGGGACGAAGAAAUGACUGUACCUGAAGAACAAGUCACGGCUAACUACGUGCCAGCAGCCGCGGUAAUACGUAGGUGGCAAGCGUUAUCCGGAUUUACUGGGUGUAAAGGGCGUGUAGGCGGGUCUGCAAGUCAGAUGUGAAAUCUCCGGGCUUAACUCGGAAGUGUCAUCUGAAACUACGGAUCUUGAGUACUGGAGAGGAUAGUGGAAUUCCUAGUGUAGCGGUAAAAUGCGUAGAUAUUAGGAGGAACACCAGUGGCGAAGGCGGCUAUCUGGACAGUAACUGACGCUGAGGCGCGAAAGCGUGGGGAGCAAACAGG